UCCGGAGUAUCGGUGGUUAAGGCUACCGAUAGUGAGACUUGUAAAUUCAGUAACCUACUGGUAGAGUAAAAGAACGUGAGGGAAUAAAGGCGUACCUUAUGUUUCUGCUAGUUAAUUACCCGGUUGUCAUAAUGUUUACUUAGGUGUAUCCGUUUUGAUAAUUAAUAAAGUGGUUACUUUUUUG
RNAcentral lists this non-coding RNA (184 nucleotides) under unclassified sequences. Its description in RNAcentral is "RT-7 RNA". It matches the Rfam family "RT-7 RNA". From Rfam's summary of the family: Bacteroidales. Nearby to self-splicing intron genes The record is from Rfam by way of RNAcentral.